RNAcentral lists this ribosomal RNA (518 nucleotides) under uncultured bacterium. RNAcentral describes it as "bacterial SSU rRNA". It matches the Rfam family "Bacterial small subunit ribosomal RNA", at positions 21 to 518 of the family's 1533-position model. The record is from RNAcentral.
GGCUCAGGACGAACGCUGGCGGCGUGCCUAACACAUGCAAGUCGAACGGGGAUUUGUUUCGGCAGAAUCCUAGUGGCGAACGGGUGAGUAACGCGUAGGCAACCUGCCCUCCGGCCGGGGGACAACACUCCGAAAGGGGUGCUAAUACCGGAUACGAAGUCUGUGCCGCAUGGUACGGAUUUGAAAGAUGGCCUCUAUUUAUAAGCUAUCGCCGGGGGAUGGGCCUGCGUCCGAUUAGCUGGUUGGUGGGGUAACGGCCUACCAAGGCGACGAUCGGUAGCCGGUCUGAGAGGAUGAACGGCCACAUUGGGACUGAGACACGGCCCAGACUCCUACGGGAGGCAGCAGUGGGGAAUCUUCCGCAAUGGGCGCAAGCCUGACGCAGCAACGCCGCGUGAGUGAGGAAGGCCUUCGGGUUGUAAAGCUCUGUCAUUUUGGACGAAACCUAAUUGUUAAAUAGGCAAUUAGAUGACGGUACAGAAGAAGGAAGCCCCGGCUAACUACGUGCCAGCCGCAGC